This 331-nucleotide ribosomal RNA is filed under the name uncultured bacterium. RNAcentral describes it as "bacterial SSU rRNA". It matches the Rfam family "Bacterial small subunit ribosomal RNA", at positions 568 to 899 of the family's 1533-position model. The record is from RNAcentral.
UGUGUAGGCGGUUCUUUAAGUUUGGUGUGAAAUCUCCCGGCUCAACUGGGAGGGAGCGCCGAAUACUGAGGGACUAGAGUACGGGAGAGGAAAGUGGAAUUCCUGGUGUAGCGGUGAAAUGCGUAGAUAUCAGGAGGAACACCGGUGGUGUAGACGGCUUUCUGGACCGACACUGACGCUGAGACACGAAAGCGUGGGUAGCAAACAGGAUUAGAUACCCUGGUAGUCCACGCCCUAAACGAUGCAUAUUUGGUGUGGGCAGUUCAUUCUGUCCGUGCCGGAGCUAACGCGUUAAAUAUGCCGCCUGGGGAGUACAGUCGCAAGGCUAGAA